This 230-nucleotide ribosomal RNA is filed under the name uncultured Pichia. RNAcentral's name for it is "partial 26S rRNA". Lineage: Eukaryota; Fungi; Ascomycota; Saccharomycetes; Saccharomycetales; Saccharomycetaceae. The record is from RNAcentral.
CGUAGAUGCAUAUCUUGCAACCUUCUCUCUCGUGGAGGGGGCCCCUUGCAGUUUACUGGGCCAGCAUCAGUUUGGGCGGUAGGAUAAUGACUGAGGAAUGUGACUUGCCUUCGGGGAAGUGUUAUAGCCUUGGUUGAUACUGCCAGCCUAGACUGAGGACCGCGUCUUUGACAAGGAUGUUGGCAUAAUGAUCUUAAGCCACCCGUCUUGAAACACGGACCAAGGAGUAC